RNAcentral lists this non-coding RNA (25 nucleotides) under Rattus norvegicus (Norway rat). The record is from RNAcentral. Lineage: Eukaryota; Metazoa; Chordata; Mammalia; Rodentia; Muridae.
UCCAUGACUCCCCGUGUCUGUUCCC